This 63-nucleotide transfer RNA is filed under the name Diptera sp. 66 LC-2017. RNAcentral describes it as "tRNA-Arg". Lineage: Eukaryota; Metazoa; Arthropoda; Insecta; Diptera. The record is from RNAcentral.
AAUUAUUUAUCAUAAAAUAAUGAAUUUAUCUUCGAAAUAAAAUAUUUAAAAUUAUAAUAAUUU